Molecule: ribosomal RNA, 484 nt
Filed under: uncultured bacterium
Lineage: Bacteria
Description: partial 16S ribosomal RNA
Rfam family: Bacterial small subunit ribosomal RNA
Source: RNAcentral
AGUGAACGCUGGCGGAAGGCUUAACACAUGCAAGUCGAACGGCAGCACAGUGAGAACUUGGGUGUAGGGGGGCGGAGGGGUGAGUAAGAGAGGAGAACAUGGGCGGCUGCGGUUGAGAACGGAGUGAAAGAGAGGAUAAUACGGUAUACCAGCAGAGGACGUAAGCGUGGAAGCAGGGGGUCUUGGGACAUCGCACGAGUCGAUGUCAGAUUAGGUAGUUGGUGGGGUAAAGGCCUACCAAGCCGACGAUCUGUAGCUGGUCUGAGAGGACGAGCAGCCACACUGGAACUGAGACACGGUCCAGACUCCUACGGGAGGCAGCAGUGGGGAAUUUUGGACAAUGGGCGCAAGCCUGAUCCAGCCAUACCGCGUGCAGGAAGAAGGCCUUCGGGUUGUAAAGCGCUUUUGUAUGGAAAGAAAAGGAUCUGGCUAAUACCCCGCGGUUCUGACGGUACCGUAAGAAUAAGCACCGGCUAACUACGUG